CUUACACCUGAAAAAUGUCUGCUAACACCAGAUCGUCUUGAUGCCAAACUCUAGCCCAAUCGACAUGACCUGGAAUAACAAAGCUACUUUACACACCCGACUAAAGCAUUUACUAGUCCCAGUAUAGGCGAUAGAAAAGACACUCUUGGAGCGAUAGAGACUACGUACCGUAAGGGAAAGAUGAAAUAUUAGUGAAAUAAACUAAGCUAAAAACAGCAAAGAUCAACCCUUGUACCUUUUGCAUCAUGGUCUAGCAAGAAAAACCAAGCAAAAUGAAUUUAAGUUUGCCAUCCCGAAACCCAAGCGAGCUACUUACGAGCAGCUAUUUUGAGCGCACCCGUCUCUGUGGCAAAAGAGUGGGACGACUUGUUAGUAGAGGUGAAAAGCCAAUCGAGCUGGGUGAUAGCUGGUUGCCUGUGAAACGAAUCUUAGUUCACUCUUAAUUCUUCUCCAAGGAAAACACACAAACCCUAAUGAAGCGAAUUAAGGGCAAUUUAAAGGAGGGACAGCUCCUUUAAAAAAGAAUACAAUCUCUACGAGCGGAUAAGUACUAACCCCCGAUCUUACUGUGGGCCCUCAAGCAGCCAUCAACAAAGAGUGCGUUAAAGCUCCCCCUACAAAAAUAUAAGAACAAUACGACUCCCUCACCAUUAACAGGCUAACCUAUACUUAAAUAGGAGAAUUAAUGCUAGAAUGAGUAACCUGGGUCCUCCCUCUACGACGCAAGCUUACAUCGGCACAUUAUUAACAAACCACCAAUAUACGAUAAAUCAAACAAGCAGAGUAUUAAGUACAUUGUUAACCCGACAGAGGAGCGUCCA
This 821-nucleotide ribosomal RNA is filed under the name Pyrrhoplectes epauletta. RNAcentral's name for it is "partial 16S ribosomal RNA". The stretch from base 215 to 821 matches the Rfam family "Bacterial large subunit ribosomal RNA", at positions 569 to 1242 of the family's 2925-position model. Lineage: Eukaryota; Metazoa; Chordata; Aves; Passeriformes; Fringillidae. The record is from RNAcentral.